CCUGGGCUAAAUCAUACAGAGACGUAUUGGGAAACCAGUAUUCUCUUCGGAGCCGGUAUGAAGGUGCUGCAUGGCUGUCGUCAGCUCGUGCCGUGAGGUGUUGCCUUAAGUGGCGCAACGAGCGCAACCCCUGUGACUAGUUACCAGCACAUAAUGGUGGGGACUCUAGUCAGACUGCCUACGCAAGUAGUGAGGAAGGUGGGGACGACGUCAAGUCAUCAUGGCCCUUACGUCCAGGGCUGCACACGUGCUACAAUGGUUAGUACAGAGGGAAGCCACCUGGUGACAGGGAGCA
RNAcentral lists this ribosomal RNA (295 nucleotides) under uncultured bacterium. RNAcentral describes it as "partial 16S ribosomal RNA". It matches the Rfam family "Bacterial small subunit ribosomal RNA", at positions 974 to 1269 of the family's 1533-position model. The record is from RNAcentral.